Cyprinodon variegatus (sheepshead minnow) is the source of this 263-nucleotide long non-coding RNA. RefSeq lists it as uncharacterized. The record is from RefSeq and is a predicted model, not a curated record. The transcript has 3 exons. NCBI's taxonomy places the organism in Eukaryota, Metazoa, Chordata, Actinopteri, Cyprinodontiformes, Cyprinodontidae.
AAGCUGAUCACCGUUCCUGGAGUUAAAGGAACAUCUGAUGAUGGUUUUGAUGUAGAAUCUGCUUCAAAUAACAGUGCUGUUGCAUGGUGUAUAAUCAGUGGAUUCAUGGUUUGCAUCGUUGCUUUUCUCAUCAUUUUAUGGUUCACAAAAAGGGCAGAAAAAAGGUAUUUCUUUCACACAGUGUCUGAAUUGUCACCUGGAUGUUCAACUCAGCAGAUUAAUGUUUGUGGAUUAUUGAGAUAUAUAUACUUUUUAAUUUCACA